GACUAUGACGGUGGAGUCUGAUUCGAUGAGUUUAUAUACUGCCUUUAUGUUUCGCACAGAAGACGCCAAAUUGAGUUGUGUCAAUGGUACCCCUUUGGGUCUGCUGGUAGUGCCGGAGGUGUGAAGGAAGAGUGCGACGUCGGAUGGCUCGUUGGCAAGCUGAGCGAGAGACAUAACGUCUGACUUCGGGUCCGGAAGUGAGAGUACCAAUCCAGAAUCGGCUCCGGGCAGUGCAACUGUGGCAUGACGAAUGUUGAGCUUGGAAGCCGCAGCUUGAGCGGAGCUGUUCCCUUCCUGUAGGGUCAGUAAGAGCUUUGACUCUGAGUCCGACAGGUAGAACUCAAAUUCCUCCAUGGUGUAGACGGAAUUAAGUGGUGCCGCCGUAGCUCGGGCUCGGAUUACGGCCAAAAACAUAAUUACAAACUCUAUAGUAUUAGGGAAAGUUAGCGCAACAACAUCUCCUGGCUUAAUACCCGCAGCAACCAGACGAGAAGCGGCUUUUUCAACCAGUUCAUGAAGGCGAGAGUGCGUCAAAUCAAACUUGCCCGAAACUGAGACUGCUAUUCUGUGAGGGAAGUCUCCGGCGAUGCGUUUCAAUAACCCAGUGAUCAUAAAACUAUCCAUGUUGUUCUCUGGAACAAGAAGAUAAGAAGAGAUGAUUAUGGUGAAUAUCAGA
RNAcentral lists this unclassified non-coding RNA (676 nucleotides) under Hevea brasiliensis (rubber tree). The record is from RNAcentral. Lineage: Eukaryota; Viridiplantae; Streptophyta; Magnoliopsida; Malpighiales; Euphorbiaceae.